UUGGAGCAUUCCCUGUUACGACAAGUUCCUCAGCUCUGGCAAGAGUUCUGACUUGCGCGGAGCCCCGGCACAGGCUAUCGCAUACCCGAGAUUGAGACACUCUGGGACCAGAGGAAUCAUGCAGGGUGGCGGCUGCCGCCUAAGGCCAAUGUGAAGUGACCGUCCUCUCUGCUCUGUUCUAUCGCCUGCCUCUGCGAAUAUCCUUAAAUAAAGCUUUGCAAGAGUGAAAACAA
Molecule: long non-coding RNA, 233 nt
Organism: Gavialis gangeticus (Gharial)
Lineage: Eukaryota; Metazoa; Chordata; Crocodylia; Gavialidae
Exons: 3
Source: RefSeq, a predicted model, not a curated record